This 468-nucleotide ribosomal RNA is filed under the name uncultured bacterium. RNAcentral describes it as "partial 16S ribosomal RNA". It matches the Rfam family "Bacterial small subunit ribosomal RNA", at positions 28 to 507 of the family's 1533-position model. The record is from RNAcentral.
GACGAACGCUGGCGGCGUGCUUAACACAUGCAAGUCGAACGGAAAGGCCCUGCUUUUGUGGGGUGCUCGAGUGGCGAACGGGUGAGUAACACGUGAGUAACCUGCCCUUGACUUUGGGAUAACUUCAGGAAACUGGGGCUAAUACCGGAUAGGAGCUCCUGCUGCAUGGUGGGGGUUGGAAAGUUUCGGCGGUUGGGGAUGGACUCGCGGCUUAUCAGCUUGUUGGUGGGGUAGUGGCUUACCAAGGCUUUGACGGGUAGGCGGCCUGAGAGGGUGACCGGCCACAUUGGGACUGAGAUAGGGGCCAGACGGCUACGGGAGGCAGCGGUGGGGAAUAUUGCACAAUGGGCGGAAGCCUGAUGCAGAAACGCCGCGUGCGGGAUGACGGCCUUCGGGUUGUAAACCGCUUUCGCCUGUGACGAAGCGUGAGUGACGGUAAUGGGUAAAGAAGCACCGGCUAACUACGUG